GAUGAUGUCUGGGACCCCACAUCGAGGGGUGGUCAUUUUCGAUACCGUCGUGGCAUCUAAUGUGCCCGUGGGGUUAAUAUGGUAAUUUCGCUGGUAGGUUUUGAUGGCGGACUCUAAGGUUUCGUCGAAAUCGUCGUUGUUGGCGUGGGUUUCAUUUGGGUAUUGGAGAUAGCCAAAUUGAUGGAGGUAGUUUUUGAGGUGGUGGAUAUCUUUGGUUUUGUUACCCUUGUGACAACCUUGUAGGGUUUUGAUGAACUCAAAUGGUGAUGGUUUUUGUUCACUUGGUGUAUCCCUCUUGGCUUGGCCAAUAGGAGAGAGGGAAAUUAUGGCAAAAAUGAAGAUGAAUGAUAGGAGAUUAAAUUGUUUAAGUGCCAUAAUUAAGUAUUCAAGAAGAUAUACUCAAAGAAUUGAAUAAGAAGUUUGUGUAUAACAUAUUGCUAUGUAGUAUGUCUAUUUAUAUAUACACAUUUGUAUGUGGAAAAAUGAUGCAUAAAUAUUAGAGAUGACUCAUAGUAGAAGUCUGUUUUAUGUUUCACUAGAAUACAUUGCCUUGCAUUUAGAAGACCAAUGACUAUAUUGUGGAAAUUUGCGUCCAUAUGUAUAAAUUUUCCACAUUUGGAAUGUGGAAAUAAAUUGUGUUUAUUUUCCACGAAUAAUUGACGGGUUUGGAAUUUUUAGGAAACUAUAUUGUGACCAAUGACUUGGAAAAUUGGGAGGAAAUUGAACAAAUUGGAAUUAAAUUACCACAUUUGAAAAAAAAAAAAAAUCUUUUUUUCUUUUGGAAAUUGAAAAAUAAUGUUAUUGGUCCAAUAUCCCAAGUAAAAUUAAAAAAAAAAAAACUCUUUCAUAACAAUAAGUAAGUAUAUAAAUGCAAACAACUCUCGUGUCCUAUGCAAUCAAAAGUAAAGUACAACGGCAUUCUGCCAACGAUCGUUAUGUCGAGUUUGUAAUACAUGGUUAGUUUAGUGUGAUUUACUUAUCUUGUAUGCAUAGUUUGCAAGUUAUUAUAUCAUAGUGUAAGUUUACCUAGUGCACCUAUAUAAUUGGCUGCAGGUUCUUUCAUAUCAAAAAAGAAAAAGAAAAAAGUAAAAUGGCAGUGUACUCAUUUUCAAAUUUACAUUAACAAAGUAACGAUUUUGUAGAUGUUGCGUUCGAUGAAAUAUAUCUGGUGAUUCGACGGCAUUGAUCUAUAUAUAAUAACACACAGGCGCCUAUGCGUAUGUGUGGCUUAGCGGAUGGUUAUUUAUAUAGAUCUAUGAUCUAAAAUCACCUAAUAUAUUUCACCAAGUAUAGCAUUUUAUAAAUCAAAAACGACGAUCGUUACCCAGUAAUAUUGUGUGGGGGUUAUUUAUCUAAAUUAGGGUAUUAAUCUUUUAAAUAAAUAUUAUGGAUUCUAGUAAAAAAUAAAUUAUAAAAUGACUAAAAUAUUCCUCUUACUAAUUUUUUUACCAUUAAUUAUCUACUUAACAAAUUAGUACUAAUAAUAGCAAAUUAAAAUAAUUUUUUUUUCCAAAACGAUAAAUAAUUUCAUAAAAUGAUUAUUUAUUUACCAAAAAAGAAAGUUAGUUCUAUUAUGAUUGGACCGAAUAUUCCUCAAUAUUUCAGCGGUAGUUUGGUCUUUCUGGCAACGAGGGUGAUUAAUUCGCUAAUACGUACUACUAGGGGUAAUAUGCUAUCCCUUAAAUCCAUCAUAAUUUGAACUAAAUGAUAAGUUUAAAUCCAAUAUUUUAUUUAAAUCUUUAGUUUGAAAUAAUAUCAAAUCCUUAAAUUUUCUUUUAUUCCUAUGUUGCCCUUAUUUAAAUCAUAUAACUUCACGUAUCUCAAUCCAGAUUUAUUUAUUUUCUUUAAUCUUCUCUCUCGCCUUUUAUUCUCUCUCUCUCUCUCUCUCUCUCUCUCUAUAUGUCAAUUUCCUCUUUUUUUUUUUUUUUUUCUCUCUCACCUCUCUAUCUCUAUCUCGCUCUCUCCGGUAAGCACAAAGGCCGGGGCCGACGGCGGAGGGAAUAGGAGCGGGGCCAACUGGGGAAGUGGUGGUGGAGGAGGCGGCGGCGGCGGCAGCUGGGUGGCGGAGGAAGCAGGGUUCUUUUUUUUUUUCUUCUUUAUAUAUAUAUAUAUAUAUAUAUAUAUAUAUAUAUAUAUAUAUAUAUAUAUAUAUAUAUAUAUAUAUAUAUAUAUAUAUAUAUAUAUAUAUAUAUAUAUUUUCAAUGUUAUGUAAGGAAAAAAUAAAGUUUUUUUUUAUAUAUAAUAGUGCAUAAAAUGCUAAAAUCACGAAAGAAAAAAAAAAGACAAACGAGUAUUCUGUAAAAAAUAUUAAAAAACGUAAAUUGGAAAAAUGAAAAACAUAGAAAAAUGAUAAAUGCAGUUUGAUUUUACUUAAUGCAAAUUUUGAAUUUUGUACUGGAGGGGCAUUUUUGGAAUAAAUUUUAUGAAAAAUGUGAAACAAAUGUUUAGUUGGACUUGUCAUUUAGUUCUAAUAAAUUUUGUCAAGAGGGAGCCCCUGUGUACUAAUUAGUUUGCAUAAUAAUAUCUAUCUAUCUGGAAAAAUCAUUUUGGCGGUCACCGGCGCCGAACUUAAUGGCAGAUCAACUGUGAGCCGCCGCCGAAUUAGAGCCCACGAUCCAAUUUGUUAGAUCCGAUAUACGUAAUCCAGAUUCCACCACCGCUCUCGUUUCUUCUUCAAUCUCGAAAAUUCCGACGGCGAAAAGAGUCAACCAUGGGAUUGUUCACCUACACAGUAGCCGGCGGCGCUCUAAUUCUACUCGGCGCGUGGGAAUCGGUCAUCUCCGCCUCCGAAUCCCUCAAACAAACCCCACCGCCACACUCGCCGCAAAAUAGUAAACAAUCCACGCCGCCGGGAACAGCCUCAUUUUCGUCGACAGUGACGUUUCUGCUGAUCUCCGUUCUGUCCGUACUCUUCGUCGUGAACUCAUUCAUCUCUUUAUCCGACGUCGUCGCCUCCGACGAUGACGUCGGUUUCGCCCUACAGUUGGAGGUAAUUGCAAUCGGCUUCCUUUUCACAGGCAAAAGGUAGCACUCUUUUUGUAAUAGGUUUCUUAAUUUGUAAGUUUAAGGCAUUAUGCUAGAAAGAUGAUAUAAGAAACAAAGGGUUUGGUAUAGGGUUUCUUUUGGCCUUCUUGAAAUGUGUAUAUAGAACUCCAUGGGAAAACUCAUGUAAAUGUAUUUUCAACAACCUAUAAUUUCUUGUUUAUUUGAAGUUGAUUUUAUGUUUUCAGAAGUCAAAAUUUUAGUUGAUUCCAUUAAAUUAUCAUUUCUUGUUUAUUUGAAGUUGAUUUUUUGUUUUCAAAAGUUACAAAUUUAAGUUAAUUCCAUUAAAUUAAAUUUUUUCUGUGUUGAUUUUGUGGAUUUGAACAGUGGCGAAGCCAGAAUUUUAUGUUUCACGUUAAAAAAAGACCUAGUUUCUUCUAUAAUUUUGAUUUUUUUAAUUUCGAGGGCUUAUAAGUUUAUGUGGUAUUUGAUAAUAUAGAUGUCUACAAACAAAAGAAAAUAGACCACUAGUGCAAUUGGAAUCACUAUAGUUAUAUUUAAAAUAUUAGAAUUUAUCUAGUUUUAUUUUUACGAUUUUAUGAAAGUGAGUGUCCUUAUUUUAAAAUUUCCAUUGCUUUUGGAACUGGAAUAAAUUUUGUACUUUCAAAAAAUUUUUUUUUUUUUUUCGAAAAGAUUAAUUUCGAUCCAUUUUAUCUGACUUUCAAUCUUGAUGCCAAGAUAUAGGAUAAAACUACAAGAAAAUAAGCACAAAAGGAAACAUGUUUAUUUAAGGUUUCAGACCCGUCACACAUUCUAGGAUACAAGCUUGAAAUACAGAAAUAUGAAACAUAAAUUACCGUACAAUUUAUGUGUUUUAUUCUUACAAAGGGAAAUCUGGUGUGAGAGAGAGAGGGAGAGAGAGAGAGAGAGAGAGAGAGAGAGAGAGAGAGAGAGAGAGAGAGAGAGAGAGAGAGAGAGAGAGAGAGAGAGAGAGAGAGAUAGAGAGACAGAGAGAGAGAGAGAGAUAAAAACAGGUCUUUUAUUCAGUCACGCGCCAAGCCACGUUGAAGCAAUAUUUCACACGUUAUAUAAAGCUCUGAUUCCCUGGAUAUCAUCUGCAUUCAAACCCUUGGUCCUUCCAGACGAAAGUCGAGGGUACAUAAUCGCAGCCUCGACCGAGCUAUGACCUAGCCCUAGAAGGUGCCCGAUUUCAUGCAAUGCCACCGUUUCCAGGUCGAAAGCAUUCGGCACUGGCCCAAUGGACCACCGCUCGUCCGCAUCGUAAUGGAACCUCCCGUUGGUCGGAGCGAACGCAUGGGCUAGGGUUCCGCCAGGUCCGUCGAACGGGGCCCCAUCUCCGUGGUUCCGACGAUGAAACCCUAUCACCAUAUCAGCACUCCGACCGCUCGGGGCCUGCGAAAAGGUGAAGUGAGUGGCGGCGUCCCAUCUCUGGAAGGCCCGUACGACGGGGGCCACCGCCCCCGCGGGGGUGUUGGGAGAAAACCCGAACGUCAGAUGAGUUCUGGAAGGCGGCCAUCUGAGGUUUCCCGGAAAGAAACUGUAGUGAGACACUGUAUGGAUAUGGCCGCUCGAGCCCGAUUCGUGUUUUUUCGUACCGGACUUCUGCAUGGUGUUAUCGCCGUUGAUGAUGUCGGCGACCCCACAUCGAGUGGUGGUCAUUGUAGAUACCGUUAUGGCAUCUAGUGUGCCAGUGGGGUUAAUAUGGUAAUUACGCUGGUAGGUUUUGACGGCGGAUUCUAGGGUUUCGUCGAAGUCGUCAUUGUAAUUGGCGUGGGUUCGAUUUGGGUAUUGGAGAUAGCCAAAUUGAUGUAGGUAGUUUUUAAGAUUGUGGAUUUCUUUGGUUUUGUUGCCCUUGUGACAACCUUGUAGGGUUUUGAUGAAUUCAAAUGGUGCUUGUUUUUGUUCACUUGGUGUAUUCCUCUUGGCUUGGCCAAUAGGAGAGAGGGAAAUUAGGGCAAGAAUGAAGAUUGAUAAAAGGUGAGAAGUAGCCAUUGUUGAGUGUCAAGAAUAUUAAGAUAUUGCUUUUGCUCUAUAGAAUAAUGUUUAUUUACAUGUCUAUUUAUAGAGAUUCAUUUGUAUUGAUUUUGAUUUUUAUUUUUUUAAAAGAGUGCCAUAAUUUGUACUAGGUGUCUAUUUUAUGAAUUUUAACUAGAAAUAAAGAAAGAAAGAAAGAAAUAAAUAUAUAAUACAAGAUUACAAGUUGUUGACUUGGAUGACCAAAAUACCAGGUCCAUGCAUGACAAUUGACUUUCUUUAUUCCAUUUUAAAUAUAGAAAUAGAAUGUUGGUUUCAUUUUCCUUGGAAAAAUAAGAUGAUUUAAAAAAAAAAGGGUAAAUUACAAACACCCCUGAGGUAUGGUCAAAUUACAAAAACACCCCUCUUGUUUGGAUAAUUACAACCACCCCCUCAACUCCUCAAAUUUAGUGGAAUCUUCGAGAUUAUAUGGAAUAUUAUCACUUUUGUACACGUUUUAUCCCAUUCAAACUCUACAUUAUGAAGCAAGAUGAUCAUAAUAUGUGAUUUUUAGCUUGUAUAUAUCAGUUUGUGGUGCAUCGGAAACUGCAUUUUUACACAAAACGAGUACAAACUAGAGCACAUUCCACGGAAUCUAGAUGAUUAUGUUGAAUUGGGCACCAUACGGGUGGAGGUGUAAGAAAAAAUCAUAGUUGAGGGGGGUAUUUGUAAUUAUCCAAACAAGAGGGGUGUUUUUGUAAUUUGACCAUACCUCAGGGGGGUGUUUGUAAUUUACCCUAAAAAAAAAUCUUCUUCAUUAGAAGAGGAAAGAAGAAAGACAUAAUUAAAAUGGGGUUCAAUGUUAAGUCCAAUCAACUAAUUAAUAGGGUUGUCCAGCAAGGGAUGACCUAGCCGUUGGAGCAAGUGAGUGUGAUUGAAUUGACCCAGGUUCGAAUUUUCUUGCCAACGGUCGCUAGGUCGAGCUUGCGACACAUGGUUAGUCUAGUGUGGUUUACGUCUCUCUUAUGAUUUACAAACUAUUAUACGAGAGUGUAGGUCUACACAGUGCACCUAUAUAGUCGGUUGCGUAUUCCUUUAUUACCAAAAACAAAUAAAUAUUAAUAUUCAUAUACAAUAUUUUUACUCAUUAUAAAAUAUUAAAAAGGGUGGGGACAUGUACGUACUUUUUUUUUUUUUUUUUUUUUUUUAAAUCUUGUCUUCAACAUCUUAUUACUUUUCAAAAAAACUACGAAACAUUUCUAACAGAGCUUAUAACUUCUUAAAUAUCUUAUUAGCUCUAUUUAACAGCUUAUAAGCUUAUGCAAACACCCUCUAAAUGCCUCUAAAUGCAGAGUUGAAUCAGUCCAAUUUGGAGACAAAGUGGGAAGAAAUCGUGUUGUUCAGUUCAUCUUAUUUUCCAAUCCAAAAUAAGACUUCCCCUCGUCUUUGGUGGUCCUAGCUAACAUAUCUUUAUUUAUUUUAUUUUAUUUAUUUUUAUUUUUUUUAUUUCUAUGUCACGGCACUACUUACAUAAGACUUUUCAUAAAGUCGAGCUCGUCUGUUUUGAAAGGUUCGAGCUCGAACUCGUUUACCACCCCUAAUUUGGGCUGUAUAUAAUUUUUUGAUUUUAUAUUGAUAAAUUAUUUAAUACUUGGAGGUCUAGCUAGAGAUGAUAUAUAUAUAUAUAUAUAUAUAUAUAUAUAUAUAUAUAUAUAUAUAUAUAUAUAUAUAUAUAUAUAUAUAUAUAUAUAUAUAUAUAUAUCCACGUUAAGUAUGGCCAAAUUACGAAAAAAACCCUCUUGUUUGGGUAAUUACAACCAUCUCUCUUCUUUUAAAAAAUUUUUACAUAAAAUUUAUGUAAUUCGGUUAUUUACCGAACCAAAUCGUAUAUUCAUUUCGGUAAACGGUAUGAAAUGUUGGCGUACCAAAAUUUCGGUUCGAUUUUACAGAUUUGACAUUCCUAAAUUUACCUCUAGAAGGGUAUUUUCGUAAAAUAAUACAUAGUUGAGGGGGUGGCAGUAAUUACCCAAACAUGAGGGUAUUUUUCGUAAUUUGACCAUAACUCAGGGGUAGCCGUAAUAUGCCCCAUAUAUAUAUAUUGCACAUUUGCCCCCAAUAAAGAACUUAGAUAAUAAAAAGUACUUGCCUCUAUAAUGGUUCAAUUGAGAAGGAAAAAUAUCAAAUUGACUGUAAGUUUGAUGCUUCAUCUCUUCCUGGAGCUACUCAAAAGUCACUAUUUAGGUGCCAUGUUUGGGGUAACCUCAAAAAAUGUCAAUAAUUUAAAUCGGAGAAACAAGAAAAAAAAAAACAAUAAUAGCAAUAAUUUAUGAUGGGAAUUUAAAUCGGAAAUAUAAGUCUAUAACACUCUAUUUAUGAAAAAAAAUACAUUCUCUAUAAAUUUUCUAUUACAGCUUGCAAUUAAUUAGUCAAAUGUAUAAAAUAAAACAAGAAAAUAAAAGGAAUGCAAAAGUAAUUUGAUCACUAGAAUAAGAACAAAAAUAAAUUAAACUUUUUUUUUUUUGAGAACAAAAAUAAAUUAAACUACUUAUAUGGAAAAAGAUAAUUUCGUAGAAGUGUAGUCAUUAUAAGUAUAGUUUGAUAAAAGGAGUUUAUAAACUGCUAAAAGAAUAUAAGAUUAAUAAUACUUUUGUUUAUGCUCAUAUCUUGUUAAUCUUUUGAGGAUAGAUAUUUAAUAUAAUUUCUAAUUAUAAUCUUUAGGAAAUUUAAUUUUUUUUAACAAACCCCUGAAAACUCACUCUUUAGGGAAUUUAUGUGCUAAAAAUUAAGGCUAAAGUACAAAAAACCCCUGAACUAAGGUCUAAUUACCAAAACCCACCUCAGAAAUUCAUAAUUAGCAAAACACUCUCUGACUAAUCGUUGACCAGAUUUCUUAAAAAGAAAUUGUUGUGUCUUUAAUGCCCCUAAGUUAAAUAAAAUUCAAAAAUCAUAAAAUUCGGUGACAUUUUGAAGACUUUCAAUUGAAUUUUGAAGGAUAUUUCAAUAUUUAUAUUAAAAAAUAUUGCAAUUACCUCUAUGAAGGAAUAAUAUUAUUACAAUUACCUCUAAGGGUAAAAUUGGAAUUUUUGAAAAAUAUUCCUUGAAAUUAGAAAGAUUCCGUCGAAGUUCACAGUAUAAGUGGACAAUGUAAGGCGACAACAAAAUUUCAGACCAAUAGGAAAACAAAAUAAUAAAUAGAAAAAAUAUGUAUGCAUUAAAAUAGAAAAAAUAUGUAUGCAUUAAUAAAUAGAAAACAAAAUAAUAAAUAGAAAAAAUAUGUAUGCAUUAGGAGAGUUGGUACCUAGCCUUUACCAAUAGGGUAACGGUCUAGGGUUCGAGUCCCCCCCCCCCCCCCCCCCUCCUACUUCCCCUUGUAAUGGACUUGAAUUUACUCAAAAAAAAAAAAAAAAAAAUAAAAAAAAAAAUAUGUAUGCAUUAAUAUUUCAUAUUUCAUACCAAUGGGAAAACAAAAACACAAACUAUUAUAAAGUUUAUUUUCUUCAUUAUUAUUAAAAAGGGAAAAAAAUCCUUAAGUAGCACACUAAUACAUUAUUCCGAACAAAAGAAACAUUUUGUUACAUUUAUAGAGAUAGAUGACGUAUUUUUUAAUUCAAUCAAAUUAACCAUGCCCAAUAAUAUUUCAGACAUUGUAUAAAGCUCUAAUUCCUUGAAUAUCAUCUGCAUGCAAAUUCUUGGUCACACCAGCUCCAAUUCCGGAAUACAUAAUUGCAGCCUCGACCGAGCUAUGCCCAAGCCCAAGAAGGUGCCCGAUUUCAUGCAGCGCCACCGUUUCCAAGUCGAAAGCAUCUUGGACUGGCCCAACGGACCACCGUUCGUCCGCAUCGUAAUGGAAUCUCCCAUUGGUCGGAGCAAAAGCAUGGGCUAGGGUUCCGCCACGUCCGUCGAACGGGAAUCCAUCCCCGUGAUCCCCACGGUGAAAUCCUAUCACCAGAUCGGCGGAAUUCUGGGCCCGCGAAAAGGUGAAAUGGGUGGAGGAGGCCCAUUUUUGAAAGGCCCGAGAAACGGGGCCCACUGCUGGCGCGGGAGUGUUGGGCAAAAACCUGUAAGUUAGAUGGGUUUUGGAAGGCGGCCAUCUAGGAUUUCCUUGAAAGAAAGAGUAGUGAGAUACUGUAUGGAUAUGUUUGCUGCUCGAGUUCGAUUCGUGUUCUUUUGUCCCAUGCUUCUGCAUGGUGUUUUUACCGUCGAUGAUGUCGGGGACCCCGCAUCGAGGGGUGGUCAUUUUCGAUACCGUUGUGGCAUCUAAUGUGCCUGUGGGGUUAAUAUGGUAGUUUCGCUGGUAGGUUUUGACGGCGGACUCUAGGGUUUCGUCGAAAUCGUCGUUGUUGGCGUGAGUUUCAUUUGGGUAUUGAAGAUAGCCAAAUUGAUGGAGGUAGUUUUUGAGGUGGUGGAUAUCUUUGCUUUUGUUGCCCUUGUGACAACCUUGUAGGGUUUUGAUGAACUCAAAAGGUGAUGGUUUUUUAUCACUUGGUGUAUCCCUCUUGGAUUGGCCAAUAGGAGAGAGGGAAAUUAGGGCAAGAAUGAAAAUGAAUGAUAGGAGAUUAAAUUGUUUAAGUGCCAUAAUUAAGAAUUAAGAAGUUAUACUCAAGGAAUUCAAUAAGAAGUUUGUGUAUAACAUAAUGCAAUGUGGUAUGUCUAUUUAUAUAUACAUAUUUGUAUGUAGAAAAAAAGGAGAGGGGAAGGACACAUAAAUAUUAGAGACGACUCAUAGUAGAAGUUUGUAUGAAGAAAGAAUAAAUCAACACAAGCUCUUGUCUUUAAUUUGAUGACUUGACUUUGACUUUGACUUGAUCGCAUCAUAUAUAAUUUUUUGAACACAAAGCCAAGUCCAUGAUAUAUAAUUUACCUGAAUAUUUAUGUUUUGUACGUACACGAAUGAUAAAGAUUUACCUGGUGGAACGAAAUAAGUUUAUCUCUCGUAAGUGGUAACGAUUAUAUUUCUCUAUAAAAUGGUUUCUUUUUAUUUCAGUAUUUAUAAUCUAUUAAAAUUAAUUGAUUGGAAUAUCAUAAUCAUCUGAUUGGUGGAUACAUUAUUAUUACUGAAAGUAGUGAAUAAAGCAAUUUACAUCAUUUUUUAUUUAUAAAAUAUACUUUAUUUAACUGGCCUUCUAUUCAUUGUACUCACUAGAAAUACACCUUGGCUGCAUUUAUAUAUAUAUAUAUAUAUAUAAAUGACUUGAUGUGAUUGUAUAGUGCAAUUUCUUAAGUCCAUAGAAAGUUUACUCGGUUUAGCAUUAGGAAUGUGGAAAUAAAUUGUGUUAUUUUCUUCAUCCAAUGAGAAUUAUCAAAUAAGGCGUAAUUGAGGGGUUUGGAAUUUUAGGACAUUAUGUUGUGACUAAUGACUUGGAAAUUGGACAAAUUGGAAUUAAAUUACCACAUUCGAAGAAAAAAAUAUUACUUUCCAUGUAGCAGGGACACGGAAAGAAUGACUUGGAAAUUGGGAGGAAAUUGGAUAAAUUGGAAUUAAAUCACCACAUUCGAAGAAAAAGAAUAUUUGUUACUUUCUAUGUAGCACGGAUACGGAACCACGGACAUGGUGAAACAAGUAAAUAGACUCGGGAAAACACGAGAACACCCUAUUUUUCAAAAAAAUGGAUACGAGAAUGUGGGUAAACAUGUAAAUAUUAAAAAUAUAGGGGUACAUCCAUAAUGUAUGAAAAGAUAUUAUAAUGUUAACUUAUAUACAUAUCCUCAAUUAUAAAUUUGUAUCUACAAAUUAUAUAUAAUUUAUAAGUUCCAAUCCAUAUUAUUAUUCGAUAAAUAAUAUACAAGGCAUAUAAAUUUAUUUUAGUGUUGAAUUAAAGUCUGAAAAAUAUUAAAACACUACUAGAAUUGAAAAGAAGACAUAAAGUUUUUUUUUUUAAAUAAUCAAGUAUAGGAAAUUUCGAAUCUUUAUUCAAAAACGUGUUUUGGAUUUUUUUUUUGGGCGUAACUGCUUUUCCAUUUUUUUUAUUAUUACCAUAAACAUCACCGGAAAUUUUAAACAUUUAUGGAAACGGCUCCGAAAUGUUUCCGACAUGUGAUAGAGUUUCGAUUUCCGAAACGUUCCCUGAAACGUGGAAACGCUAUGUACCGAAGUUUCCGUGCAUCAUAGAUUGCUUUGAAUUCAUGUACAAGUAGUAAUUUUCUUGUAAAAAAUAUUAUAGAUUCUAAGAAACAACUUAUAAAAUGACUAAAAUAUUCUUCUCACUAAUUAUUUCGUUAAUUAUAUACUUAACAUAUUAAUAGUAGUAAUAACAAAAUUGAGAAAAGUGUAAUAUUAUUUCACCAUAAUUGGAAUGAGUAUUAUUUAGUAUCUACUAUCUACCCAAAAAAAAAGGUUAGUUCUAAUUUUAUUGGACCGAAUAUUCCUCAAAUUUUCAAGGGUAGUUUGGUCUUUCUGGUAACGAUGGUGAUUAAUUUGCUAAUAUGUAUUACUAUUAGUUUGCAUGUAUCCAUUUAUCUGGAAAAUUCAUUUUGGCGGUCACCGGAGCCGAAUUUAGUGAAAGAUCAGCUGUGAGCCGCCGCCGAAUUAGUACCAACGAUCCAAUUCGUUAGAUCCGAUAUACCUAAUCCAAAUUCCACCGCCGUCCUCGUUUCUUCUUCAAUCUCGCAAAUUUCCUCUUCUUAUGGAAUAAUAUCAUUACAGUUACCUUUAAGGGUAAAAUUGGUACUUUCGACAAAUAUUUCCGUCGAAAUUAACAGUUUAAGUGGACAAUGUAAGGCGACAACAAAUUUCAGACCAAUGGGAAAACAAAAUAAUAAAUACAAAAAUAUGUAUAUAUUAAUGUUUCAGAACAAUGGGAAAACAAAUACACAAAUUAUUAUAAAGUUUAUUUUAUUCAUUAAUAUUAGAAAGGUAAAAAAAAAAUCCUUAAGUAGCACACUAAUACAUUAUUCCGAACAAAAGAAACAUUUUGUUACAUUUAUAGAGAUAGAUGACGUGUCUUUUAAUUCAAUCAAACCAUACGCAAUAAUAUUUCAGAUAUUAUAUAAAGCUCUAAUUCCUUGAAUAUCAUCUGCAUGCAAGCCCUUUGUCACUCCGGCCCCAAUUCCGGAGUACAUAAUGGCAGCCUCGACCGAGCUAUGACCAAGCCCAAGAAGGUGCCCAAUUUCAUGUAGCGCCACCGUUUCCAAGUCGAAAGCAUCUUGGACAGGCCCAACGGACCACUGCUCGUCCGCAUCGUAAUGGAAUCUCCCAUUGGUCGGAGCAAAAGCAUGGGCUAGGGUUCCGCCGCGUCCGUCGAACGGGUUUCCGUCCCCGUGGUCCCCACGGUGAAACCCUAUCACCAGAUCUGCGGAACUCUGGGCCAGCGAAAAGGUGAAAUGGGUGGAGGAGGCCCAUUUUUGAAAGGCCCGAGAAACGGGACCCACUGCCGCCCCGGGGGUGUUUGGCAAAAACCUAUAAGUUAGAUGGGUUUUGGAAGGCGGCCAUCUAGGGUUUCCUUGAAAGAAAGAGUAGUGAGAUACCGUAUGGAUAUGUUUGCUGCUCGAGUUCGAUUCGUGUUCUUUUGUCCCAUGCUUCUGCAUGGUGUUUUUACCGUCGAUGAUGUCAGGGACCCCGCAUCGUGGGGUGGUCAUUUUCGAUACCGUUGUGGCAUCUAAUGUGCCCGUGGGGUUAAUAUGGUAGUUUCGCUGGUAGGUUUUGACGGCGGACUCUAGGGUUUCGUCGAAAUCAUCGUUGUUGGCGUGGGUUUCAUUUGGGUAUUGGAGAUAGCCAAAUUGAUGGAGAUAGUUUUUGAGGUGGUGGAUAUCUUUGGUUUUGUUGCCCUUGUGACAACCUUGUAGGGUUUUGAUGAACUCAAAAGGUGAUGGUUUUUUAUCACUUGGUGUAUCACUCUUGGAUUGGCCAAUAGGAGAGAGGGAAAUUAGGGCAAGAAUGAAAAUGAAUGAUAGGAGAUUAAAUUGUUUAAGUGCCAUAACUAUGUAUCAAGAAGUUAUACUAAGAAUUGGAUAAGAAGUUUGUGUAUAGCAUAAUGCAAUGUGGUAUGUCUAUUUAUAUAUACACAUUUGUAUGUAGAAAAAAAGGAGAGGGGAAGGACACAUAAAUAUUAGAGACGACUCAUAGUAGAAGUUUGUAUGAAGAAAGAAUAAAUCAACACAAGCUCUUGUCUUCAAUUUGAUGACUUGACUUUGACUUGAUCGCAUCAUGUAUAAUUUUUUAGGCCAAGUCCAUGAUAAUUUACUUGGAUAUUUAUGUUUUGUAUGUACAUACAUACAUGAAUGAUGAAGAUUUACCUGUUGGAACAAAGUAAGUUUAUCUCUCGUAAAUCGUAACGAUUAUAUUUCUCUAUAAAAUGGUUCUUUUCUAUUUGAUGAUGCUAUAAAUAGACCGCCUUAAGUAGUUGAGGUAGAAGGAGUUGGGAGAGCAAAGUGGAUCACUGCUCACGUGCUAGAUGGUCCUGAGAUACCCGCGAACAAAGAGCACGCGAACGAGGCCGUGGGUUGAUCCGGCGAAAAUCCCUUUGACGCUCAAGUCAGACGUGUGGAUAGUAGAAAUAGUUAAGAGGAUACGAAUUGGAGAAUUGUUCAGAUAAUAGAACGUACCUUUAAUAAAAUGGUUAAAUCGUUAUUUAUAACUUGUCGAUUGGGCCGAAGUUAAUUUGUUGUGCUCAAACCUUAUUUGCAGGUCAUUGGGCUCUCCUAAUACUGUUCUUCUAAAUCGGGCUCGUGGCCCAAUAAAUAGAGAAAUUGUAUGGUUAUUGGACUGACCAAUUAGACAUAUCAUAUUUUAGUAUUUAUAAUCUAUAAAAUUAAUUGAUUGGAAUAUCAUAAUCAUCUUAUUGGUGGAUACAUUAUUAUUAAUGAAAGUAGUUGAAUAAAGCAAUUUACAUCAUUUUUUAUUUAUAAAAUAUAUUUUAUUUAAUUGUCCUUCUAUUUAUUAUACUCACUAGAAAUACACCUUGGCUGCAUUUAUAUAUAUAUAUAUAUAUAUAUAUAUAUAUAUAUAUAUAUAUAUAUAUAUAUAUAUAUAUAUAUAUAUAAAUGACUUGAUGUGAGUGUAUAGUGCAAUUUCUUGAAUAGAAGAUUAAGAGGGUGUUUGGCUAAGCUUAUAAGAUGUUAAAAGGAGCUUAUAAGAUGUUUUAGAGCUUAUAAGCUCUUCUAAAGUGUUUGGUAAAUUUUUAAAAAAGAUCUUAAUUUUUUUAAAAAUAAGCUGUGGGAGACCAAAUAAAAUCUUUUUAAAUAAGUACCUCUACCCCACCUUUUCAUUUAAGAUCUUAUAAUGAGUAAAAAUAGGAAAUAAGCUCAUUAUCCAAACACUAUAAAAAUUAAUCCUAAAAAUAAGACAUAACAACUUAUCAGCUCUAAAAACAUCUUAUCAGAUGUAAGAGCUUAUCAGCUGUUUAAAAUAAGCUUAGCCAAACACCCUCUAAGUCCAUAGAAAGUUUACUCGGUUUCUAUUUGAAUUAGGAAUGUGGAAAUAAAUUGUGUUAUUUUUCUUCAUCCAAUGAGAAUUUUCAAGUAAGGCGUAAUUGAGGGGUUUGGAAUUUUUAGGACACUAUGUUGUGACCAAUGACUUGGAAAUUGGGAGGAAAUUGGACGAAUUGGAAUUAAAUUACCACAUUCGAAAAAAAUAAUUAUUUGUUGUUUUUUAUGUAGCACGGACACGGGAACUCGGACAUGGUGAAACAGGUAAAUAGACUCAGGAAAACACGAGAAAACCCUAUUUUUCAAAAAAAUGGAUACGAAAAUGUGGGGAAACAUGUAAAUAUUAAAAAUAUAGGGGUACAUCCAUAAUGUAUGGAAAAAUAUUAUAAUGUUAACUUAUAUACUUAUCAUCAAUUAUAUAUAAUUUACAAGUUCCAAUCCAUAUUAUUAUUCGGUAAAUAAUAUACAAGGCAUAUAAAUUUAUUUUAGUGUGGAAUUAAAGUCUGAAAAAUAUUAAAACACUACUAGAAUUGAAAAGGGGACAUAAAUUUUUUUUAAUAAAAAAAAUAAGUAUAGGCAAUUUCGACUCUUUAUUUAAAACGUGUUUUGGAUUUUUUUUUUGGGCGUAACUGCUUUUCCAUUUUUUUAUUAUUACCAGAAACAUCCCCGAAAAUUUUAAACAUUUAUGGAAACGGCCCCGAAACAUUUCCGACAUGUGUUAUAGAGUUUCGAUUUCCGAAACGUUUCCUGAAAUGUGGAAACGCUAUGUAACGAAGUUUCCGUGCAUCAUAGAUUGCUUUGAAUUCAUGUACAAGUAGUAAUUUUCUUGUAAAAAAAUAUCAUAGAUUCUAAGAUAUAAAAAACUUAUAAAAUGACUAAAAUAUUCCUCUCACUAAUUAUUUCAUUAAUUAUAUACUUAACAAAUUAAUAGUAGUAAUAAUAAAAUUGAGAAAAGUGUAUUAUUUCACCAUAAUUGGAAUGAGUAUUAUUUACUAUCUACCCCCAAAAAAAAGGUUAGUUCUAAUUUUAUGGACCAAAUAUUCCCCAAUAUUUCAAGGGUAGUUUGGUCUUUCUGGUAACGAGGGUGAUUAAUUUGCUAAUAUGUAUUACUAAUAUACUAUUAGUUUGCAUAAUAUCCAUUUAUAAGGAAAAUUCAUUUUGGCGGUCACCGGCGCCGAAUUUAAUGACAAAUCAGCUGUGAGCCGCCGCCGCCGCCGCCGAAUCAGAAACCCACGAUCCAAUUUGUUAGAUCCGAUAUAAUCCGGAUUCUACCGCCGUUCUCGUUUCUUCUUCAAUCUCGCAAAUUUCCUCUUCUUAUGGAAUAAUAUUAUUACAAUUACCUCUAACGGUCAAAAUGGUAUUUUCGACAAAUAUUUCCGUCGAAAUUCUAAUUAGUAUAAGUGGAUAAUGUAAGGCGACAACAUAUUUUAGGCCAAUGGGAAAACAAAAUAAUAAAUACAAAAAUAUCUAUGUAUAUUAAUAUUUCAGACCAAUGGGAAAAACAAAACACAAAUUAUUAUAAAGUUUAUUUUAUUCAUUAUUAUUAGAAAGGUUAAAAAGAAAAUCAUUAAGUAGCACUCUAGUACAUUAUUCCGAACAAAAGAAACAUUUUGUUACAUUUAUAUAUAUAGAGAUAGAUGACGUAUCUUUUAAUUCAAUAACAAUAUUUCAGACAUUAUAUAAAGAUUUAAUUCCUUGAAUAUCAUCUGGAUGCAAGUUCUUGGUCACUCCGGCGCCAAUUCCGGAAUACAUGAUUGCAGCCUCGACUGCGCUAUGCCCAAGCCCAAGAAGGUGCCCGAUUUCAUGCAGCGCCACCGUUUCCAAGUCGAAAGCAUCUUGGACUGGACCAACGGACCACAACUCGUCCGCAUCGUAAUGGAAUCUCCCAUUGGUCGGAGCAAAAGCAUGGGCUAGGGUUCCGCCACGUCCGUCGAACGGGUUUCCGUCCCCGUGAUCCCCACUGUGAAACCCUAUCACCAGAUCGGCAGAGCUCUGGGCCAGCGAAAAAGUGAAAUGGGUGGAGGAGGCCCAUUUCUGAAAGGCCCGAGAAACGGGGCCCACUGCCGCCGCGGGGGUGUUGGCCGAAAACAUGUAAGUUAGAUGGGUUUUGGAACGCGGCCAUCUAGGGUUUCCUGGAAGGAAAGAGUAGUGAGAUACUGUAUGGAUAUGUUUGCUGCUCGAGUUCGAUUCGUGUUCUUUUGUCCCAUGCUUCUGCAUGGUGUUUUUACCGUUGAUGAUGUCGGGGACCCCGCAUCGAGGGGUGGUCAUUUUCGACACCGUUGUGGCAUCUAAUGUGCCCGUGGGGUUAAUAUUGUAGUUUCGCUGGUAGGUUUUGACAGCGGACUCUAGGGCUUCGUCGAAAUCGUCGUUGUUGGCAUGGGUUUGAUUUGGGUAUUGGAGAUAGCCAAAUUUAUGGAGGUAUUUUUUGAGAUUGUGGAUUUCUUUGGUUUUGUUGCCCUUGUGACAACCUUGUACGGUUUUGAUGAAUUCAAAUGGUGAUGGUUUUUUGUCACUUGGUGUAUUCCUCUUGGCUUGGCCAAUAGGAGAAAGGGAAAUUAGGGCAAGAAUGAAGAUGAAU
Molecule: long non-coding RNA, 16897 nt
Filed under: Erythranthe guttata (spotted monkey flower)
Lineage: Eukaryota; Viridiplantae; Streptophyta; Magnoliopsida; Lamiales; Phrymaceae
Description: long non-coding RNA (EGUT_LNC001416)
Source: RNAcentral